CCUACGGGUGGCAGCAGUCGAGAAUCAUUCACAAUGGGGGAAACCCUGAUGGUGCGACGCCGCGUGGGGGAAUGAAGGUCUUCGGAUUGUAAACCCCUGUCAUGUGGGAGCAAAUUAAAAAGAUAGUACCACAAGAGGAAGAGACGGCUAACUCUGUGCCAGCAGCCGCGGUAAUACAGAGGUCUAAAGCGUUGUUGGGAAUCACUGGGCGUAAGGCGUGCGUAGGCUGUUUCGUAAGUCGUGUGUGAAAGGCGCGGGCUCAACCCGCGGACGGCACAUGAUACUGCGAGACUAGAGUAAUGGAGGGGGAACCGGAAUUCUCGGUGUAGCAGUGAAAUGCGUAGAUAUCGAGAGGAACACUCGUGGCGAAGGCGGGUUCCUGGACAUUAACUGACGCUGAGGCACGAAGGCCAGGGGAGCGAAAGGGAUUAGAUACCCCAGUAGUC
This 446-nucleotide ribosomal RNA is filed under the name uncultured bacterium. RNAcentral's name for it is "partial 16S ribosomal RNA". It matches the Rfam family "Bacterial small subunit ribosomal RNA", at positions 338 to 795 of the family's 1533-position model. The record is from RNAcentral.